CCUACGGGGGGCAGCAGUGAGGAAUAUUGGUCAAUGGACGAGAGUCUGAACCAGCCAAGUAGCGUGAAGGAUGACUGCCCUAUGGGUUGUAAACUUCUUUUAUAUGGGAAUAAAAUGUUCCACGUGUGGGAUUUUGUAUGUACCAUAUGAAUAAGGAUCGGCUAACUCCGUGCCAGCAGCCGCGGUAAUACGGAGGAUCCGAGCGUUAUCCGGAUUUAUUGGGUUUAAAGGGAGCGUAGGUGGAUUGUUAAGUCAGUUGUGAAAGUUUGCGGCUCAACCGUAAAAUUGCAGUUGAAACUGGCAGUCUUGAGUACAGUAGAGGUGGGCGGAAUUCGUGGUGUAGCGGUGAAAUGCUUAGAUAUCACGAAGAACUCCUAUUGCGAAGGCAGCUUACUGGACUGCAACUGACACUGAGGCUCGAAAGUGUGGGUAUCAAACAGGAUUAGAUACCCCAGUAGUC
This 460-nucleotide ribosomal RNA is filed under the name uncultured bacterium. Its description in RNAcentral is "partial 16S ribosomal RNA". It matches the Rfam family "Bacterial small subunit ribosomal RNA", at positions 338 to 795 of the family's 1533-position model. The record is from RNAcentral.